RNAcentral lists this ribosomal RNA (420 nucleotides) under uncultured bacterium. Its description in RNAcentral is "bacterial SSU rRNA". It matches the Rfam family "Bacterial small subunit ribosomal RNA", at positions 356 to 773 of the family's 1533-position model. The record is from RNAcentral.
GAGGAAUAUUGGUCAAUGGACGCAAGUCUGAACCAGCCAUGUCGCGUGCAGGAAGACUGCCCUAUGGGUUGUAAACUGCUUUUGUACGGGAAGAAAAUCAGCUACGUGUAGUUGUUUGCCGGUACCGUACGAAUAAGGAUCGGCUAACUCCGUGCCGGCAGCCGCGGUAAUACGGAGGAUCCGAGCGUUAUCCGGGUUUAUUGGGUUUAAAGGGUGCGUAGGCGGACUGGUAAGUCAGUGGUGAAAUCCUGCAGCUUAACUGUAGAAUUGCCGUUGAUACUGUUAGUCUUGAGUACAUUUGAGGUAGGCGGAAUGUGGUGUGUAGCGGUGAAAUGCAUAGAUAUACCACAGAACACCGAUUGCGAAGGCAGCUUACUAAACUGUAACUGACGCUGAGGCACGAAAGCGUGGGUAUCAAAC